CCUACGGGAGGCAGCAGUGGGGAAUAUUGGACAAUGGGCGAAAGCCUGAUCCAGCAAUGCCGCGUGAGUGAUGAAGGCCUUAGGGUUGUAAAGCUCUUUUACCAGGGAUGAUAAUGACAGUACCUGGAGAAUAAGCUCCGGCUAACUCCGUGCCAGCAGCCGCGGUAAUACGGAGGGAGCUAGCGUUGUUCGGAAUUACUGGGCGUAAAGCGUACGUAGGCGGUUAUUCAAGUCAGAGGUGAAAGCCUGGAGCUCAACUCCAGAACUGCCUUUGAAACUAGGUAGCUAGAAUCACGGAGAGGUUAGUGGAAUUCCGAGUGUAGAGGUGAAAUUCGUAGAUAUUCGGAAGAACACCAGUGGCGAAGGCGACUAACUGGACGUGUAUUGACGCUGAGGUACGAAAGCGUGGGGAGCAAACAGGAUUAGAUACCCUGGUAGUCCACGCCGUAAACGAUGAUAACUAGCUGUUCGGUCUCUACGAGACUGAGCGGCGCAGCUAACGCAUUAAGUUAUCCGCCUGGGGAGUACGGUCGCAAGAUUAAAACUCAAAGAUAGUACGGCGNGAGAGAGCGACGACGACGACGAGGAGGAGG
This 593-nucleotide ribosomal RNA is filed under the name uncultured bacterium. RNAcentral describes it as "bacterial SSU rRNA". It matches the Rfam family "Bacterial small subunit ribosomal RNA", at positions 338 to 956 of the family's 1533-position model. The record is from RNAcentral.